AGUGAACGCUGGCGGCAGGCCUAAUACAUGCAAGUCGAACGGCAGCACAGUGGAGCUUGCUCCAUGGGUGGCGAGUGGCGGACGGGUGAGGAAUACAUGGGAAUCUGCCCAGUCGUGGGGGGAUAACGUAUGGAAACGUACGCUAAUACCGCAUGCGCCCUUCGGGGGAAAGUCGGGGACCGCAAGGCCUGACGCGAUUGGAUGAGCCCAUGUUCGAUUAGCUAGUUGGCGGGGUAACGGCCCACCAAGGCGACGAUCGAUAGCUGGUCUGAGAGGAUGAUCAGCCACACUGGAACUGAGACACGGUCCAGACUCCUACGGGAGGCAGCAGUAGGGAAUAUUGGACAAUGGGCGCAAGCCUGAUCCAGCCAUGCCGCGUGAGUGAAGAAGGCCCUCGGGUUGUAAAGCUCUUUCAGGUGGAAAGAAAUCACUACCCCGAAUACGGGUGGUGGAUGACGGUACCAUCAGAAGAAGCACCGGCUAACUACGUCG
This 492-nucleotide ribosomal RNA is filed under the name uncultured bacterium. Its description in RNAcentral is "bacterial SSU rRNA". It matches the Rfam family "Bacterial small subunit ribosomal RNA", at positions 29 to 508 of the family's 1533-position model. The record is from RNAcentral.